AAACGAAAAAGGCAAAUCUGAGGAAACUCAGAGACGCAAAGCUAUAGGGGCUAAAUUGUGAAAACAAUAUGCCAGCCAGUUACCGAA
This 87-nucleotide non-coding RNA is filed under the name Bacillus sp. OK048. Its description in RNAcentral is "c-di-GMP-I riboswitch aptamer". It matches the Rfam family "c-di-GMP-I riboswitch aptamer". Rfam says of the family: GEMM was predicted in a large-scale screen for bacterial structured RNA regulatory elements. Genes associated with GEMM are involved in a diverse array of functions, including chemotaxis regulation, signal transduction, secretion and chitin. Lineage: Bacteria; Bacillati; Bacillota; Bacilli; Caryophanales; Bacillaceae. The record is from Rfam by way of RNAcentral.